This 253-nucleotide ribosomal RNA is filed under the name uncultured bacterium. Its description in RNAcentral is "partial 16S ribosomal RNA". It matches the Rfam family "Bacterial small subunit ribosomal RNA", at positions 524 to 776 of the family's 1533-position model. The record is from RNAcentral.
UACGUAGGGGGCAAGCGUUGUUCGGAUUUAUUGGGCGUAAAGAGCGUGUAGGCGGCCAGACAGGUCCGUUGUGAAAACUAGAGGCUUAACCUCUAGACGUCGAUGGAAACCGUCUGGCUAGAGUCCGGAAGAGGAGAAUGGAAUUCCUGGUGUAGCGGUGAAAUGCGCAGAUAUCAGGAAGAACACCCGUGGCUAAGGCGGUUCUCUAGUACGGUACUGACGCUGAGACGCGAAAGCGUGGGGAGCGAACAGG